UACGUAGGAGACGAGCGUGGUCCGGAGUUACUGGGCGUAAAGGGUGCGCAGGUGGCGGCGCGCGUGGGGGGUGAAAUCGCCCGGCUUAACUGGGCGGGGGCCUUCCAGACGGCGUGGCUUGAGCAGCGGAGGGGGACGUGGAAUUCCGGGUGGAGCGGUGAAAUGCGUAGAGAUCCGGAGGAACACCCGCGGCGAAGGCGGCCACCUGGACCAGACCUGACGCUGAGGCGCGAAGGCCGGGGGAGCGAACGGG
This 253-nucleotide ribosomal RNA is filed under the name uncultured bacterium. RNAcentral describes it as "partial 16S ribosomal RNA". It matches the Rfam family "Bacterial small subunit ribosomal RNA", at positions 524 to 776 of the family's 1533-position model. The record is from RNAcentral.